GGAGCAAGAAGAAUCCGGGUACCAUGUGAAGGCAGCACCUUAAUGCAGCAAAAGCCCUGAGCAGCUCCUCAGGAUUUGGUGGUGUGGAGUGCAGUGGCCAAGGGAAUGAGUUGGAACAGGCAGAAGUUACCUACAUUCUCCUCCACCACCUGUGGUAGCAAAGAAGGGAUUGACAUUGGCACUGAUGGGAAGGAGAGACUGCCGUGGUUUGCCCAAAAAUGAGACAGAACGUUUUCUUUCCUCCUGACGGAUAUGCAUUGGAAACAGGCAAAAGCUGAGAUUGGGAAGGUGAUGAGAGAAACAAUACAACCAGAACCCCGUCUCCACAAUCUGAAGUAAAGAAGAAAUCUUACAUCAUGGAUAAACUCAUUUUUCUGCUGAUGAUGGAUGAAGGGUGAGUUUAUGCAUGAGCUAUUGCUGUUUAUAGUUCCAGGGACGCUGAAUUACAAAUGCAGAUGAGGGCUGUAUUUUAACACUUGGGAAACAACUUUCUGAACCCCUUGGCAGGGCUGUUGAACUAAACACAAAGCUUUUAUCUCUCUGAAUCUCUCAGGGCAUAUUAAUCCUUCACUUAGAGGUUUGUCAGAUGAAAAGCUGUUUGAAGGGUUUGCUAUUGUUUUGAUUGUGUCUGGAUUGUAUUGGUGCUGUGUACAGAUCACAUAAAGGCGGAGUCAGGAGUCCCGGAAAGCUCCUGCUGGGAGAGACCAGGGCUGGAGGGACCGGUGAUUUGACAGCCCCGCGUUUCUUAUGCUCUUAGGCUCGUUGGAUCCUACAAAUCCUUACUUACCAAGCAAUCUUCUCCCAUGUAAGUAGCUUUGAGCACUCAGGAAAUACAGGAAUCUUUAUCUGA
This 850-nucleotide long non-coding RNA is filed under the name Junco hyemalis (dark-eyed junco). RNAcentral describes it as "lncRNA (ENSJHYG00000007697.1)". Lineage: Eukaryota; Metazoa; Chordata; Aves; Passeriformes; Passerellidae. The record is from RNAcentral.